Molecule: long non-coding RNA, 881 nt
Organism: Chelonia mydas (Green sea turtle)
Lineage: Eukaryota; Metazoa; Chordata; Testudines; Cheloniidae
Exons: 3
Source: RefSeq, a predicted model, not a curated record
UGACAGGGUGUGUGUGUCUGAAGCUCCAGACAGAAGGGCUGCAGCAAGCAGGCCUGCAGGGAAAAAAGGAGCCAAGAACCUGCCUGAAGCCUUGGAAGGACAGAGCAGCCGAUCGGGGACACCCCAGGACAGGAGAAAGGAGGAGCACUGUGCCAGGGAUGAAUCACCUGAGAAAGAAAAACCAGAGCUGGACCUAGUAUCACUGCUGUCCAGAGCUGCAGGGGCUGGACACCACUACCACCCAUAAGAGCCCCAUGGAUACUUCAGGGGAGCUGGAGUCACAGGCCUGCAGAGUAAACAGUGGGAGGUGGUGUUGGAUGAGAGAGGAGAAAUAUGGGGGACAAGCAGGGAGACCUAUUUUCUGCGUCGAGAAAGUCCCUACACUCUAGCACAAUUGAGUCUCUGAUGGAAAUGUGGCUGGGAAGGUCUCUCCAUCCAUACCAGCGGAGCAGCUCAGCCAGAUUGGGAGGAAAAGGAAUAGGACAUAGGAUGGCAUGUUCCAAGAGAUCCUGCAGGCCUCCGGUGCUUUGGAUACCAAGCACAGGGGUUGGAGGAUCACCCUCACAGACAGCAUGGACAGGGAUAGAGAGGAGAGGAGAAAAGCACAGGAAAAGGAAAGACAUGUGCAACAGGAGAUGCUAGCACUUCUCAAGCAAGAAACAGACAUGCUGGAGACUCUUGUUGACCUUUAGGUUCAACAGACCCGUGCUUGCCUCCCUCUGCAGCCCAUAGAGAAUUGCAGUCUGGUACCUCCCCACCCCCCAAUCCUCGCAUACACACAUAUUGUCUCCUUGUGAUGUCUGUGGCCACUGCACUACUCCUACCACUCCACCCCAGAGGAGAGCACAGGCAAUCACAACCAUACAUACACCAAUCAUGUC